Molecule: long non-coding RNA, 3815 nt
Filed under: Lupinus angustifolius (narrow-leaved blue lupine)
Lineage: Eukaryota; Viridiplantae; Streptophyta; Magnoliopsida; Fabales; Fabaceae
Description: long non-coding RNA (LANG_LNC002036)
Source: RNAcentral
UCGUGGAUGAAGUAGCUCGUGAAUUUGUUAUAGAUGCUAAUACAAAUAACUAACCAUGAAUAUAUCCACUUGUAUUAAAAAUGUUUAGUUCCUAUAUCAUUAGAGAAUUUAUGGUUGGUAAUAAGAAUUACAUUUCACAUGUCCUGCAGAAUUUGCUACCAAGGAUCAAUGAAUAAGUAUAAUCCUGACAAACAAACUUCACAGCUACCACAGAUCAAUCAAUAAGAACAGUCACGAGAACCAAACUCCAUAACAAUCAAAGCUCUUAACAAAAUCUUUCCCAAGUAUCAGAAUAAAAUUCCUAAUGCAGAAUCUGAUAACAGUAAUGUAUUAAGAUAGCUCAGAGAAUUACACCAGUCCAACACCACCUACACCUAAUGCUGAUACACAUAAAAUUUCAUAGUUUAGAUUGCAGAUACUCUUGGGACAUCAACCGGAAACUCGUGGAUCUCAUCCAUCCAAGGACUCUUCUCCUUUGCCGGAUUGAUGGUUUUGAGAGCUUUCCACACUGCGCUAUUACACUUGAAUCCAGAACCAAACGCUAUUUGCCAUGUUCUAUCCCCCUUCUUGAUCCUCCCUUUGGCUUCUGUGUAAGCCAAUUCAUACCAAAGUGAACUGCUAGAGGUGUUUCCGAAACGAUAAAGAGUCACCAGACAAUAUUGAGUUCUUGCAGCGAUAUGGGAGGUGUCAGGUAUAUACUCAAUCAAACAAUUUGAUGCUGAAAGCUUGUCUUGGGUUAUAAAUUUAUACAUUAGCUCUCUUGUGGUUAACUUAUAACUAUAUCAGUAUUGGAUGAUUUAUAUUUGCACUAAAUCUAGUUGAUGUUUUGAAGGUUAUGGGAUGUAAGGAGUGGCAAAAUAGUCCAGACACUGGAGACCAAGUUACCUGUGACAAGUGCUGAAGUGAGUCAGGAUGGACAUUAUAUUACAACAGUUGAUGGUUCCACUGUCAAGUUUUGGGAUGCAAAUCAGUAAGUACCAAGUCUAGUUAGUCAACUUCCUUACUAAGAUCUGCUCUUAUUUGUUCAUGAUUUUUACCUCGUUUCUCAGCUAUGGAUUGGUUAAGAGCUAUGAUAUGCCCUGCACCAUGGAAUCAGCUUCAUUGGAGCCGAAGUACAGGAACAAGUUCAUUGCUGCGGGAGAAGACAUGUGGAUUCAUGUUUUUGAUUUCCAUACAGGCAAUGAGAUUGGUGAGUUAUUAACAACUAAUUCUUCAAUUUUCUUCUGUUCUCUGUAUAAAAAUAUUUUGAUGAUAUAUCUGGAUGGCAGCAUGCAACAAGGGCCACCAUGGUCCUGUCCACUGUGUCCGUUUCUCUCCUGGAGGAGAAUCAUAUGCCUCGGGAUCUGAGGAUGGGACCAUCAGAAUAUGGCAGACACCGUUGUCUCAUGAUGCAGCAUCGGAGGCCUUAUCUGCAAAUGAAUCAAUUGAAAAGGGGAUGAAGAUAAGUGCAGACGAGGUUUCACACAAAAUCGAGAGUUUCCAUAUUGCAGAUGAGGGGAAAUCCAAAGAGAGUGAACAGGCUGGGGAGUAAUGGUGCUAAUAAUUAACAGCUCAUUUUGACUGGCAGGGUGUUAGAAUUACCAUGAUCAAGUGCUUGCUUAAAUACAUGGUUAGUAAACAAUUUUGUAAAUGUUAAUUGUUUAUUGGACACCACCUACCUAGCUACUGAACUGAACGAGCUUGUUCCAGCAUUUAGUUUUACUUUUGUUCCUUGAUUCCUUUCUACUGAGUUUUCAUUAUGCCUUACCACACUUUGUGAAUUUCACUAAGAUAUAACUUAGAUAAAUUGAAUAGAGAUUAUGAUUUAGUUGUAAUUAAUGUGGAGUAUGAACAAUAACUAGAAUAAAAAUAUAAUUUUGACUAUUGGCGAAAUGAAUUUUUGUAAUAAAAUAAAAUUUAAAAAAAAUAUGGAUCUUAGAUAAACAUAUUGGAGUAGUUUAUGCCUUCAUGGGAUUUAGCAAAUGACUUGGUAAGCUUGUUCAAGAGUCAUUAUUGUAGAAGCAGCUUGAAUGUAUGGAUGACCGUGCAAUUCGGCCAGUUUCGGCCUGCACAUAGCUACUUACUUAUAAUGUCACCGAAAAUAUACAUUAAAAACUAGUGGAGCAUUCAUUAUAAGUAUUCUUCAUAGAAGUCCACACCAUACUCAAUAUCCAACCUUUGAAGUGAUUAACCCAAUAGUGUUUACAUCUAAGCCAAACUGUAUUUUUUUGGUUUGAGUUUGUUAAAAAUCGAUUGGAUUAUAUUUCAAAUCCUUUAAUAAAACUAGUCUAUGAAAAUUGAAUCAGACAUGCUACAAUUAUUUUUUGUUACUAUAAUUUGUCUUAUUUAUUGUACAUGAUCGAUUAAUUUCAUUCUACUUUUUUAUAUCGGAUGGAACCUUAUACUUUAAUUUAACCAAGCUAAAUCAAACUACAAAUGAUUUUUAUAUUUGGAUCGGAUGACUUUCUAUCUUAAAAUUGAUGCAGACCAAAUUAAUUAACUCAAAAGGAGAAAUUGGAAGAAGAAGAAACUAUGUCCAUAAUUUAAAUUAAUCUGUCUGGUAAAUAGAUAUUGAUGUUUUUACGGCAAGAAUGGACAGCAUCCUAUUAGUUGUAAAUUGAUUUUUUUUUAAAUCUGAUGGCUACUUUUAUUUAGAUCUUUAUUUCCUAUUUGGAAGGGACUUUUUAUAUCAAUUUUCUUUUAGUAUUGGGAUUGUUGUUUCAUCAUUUUAUGUGUUUCACAGUUCCAUGUUAACAAAUGAAUCAUUAUAUGUCGUCCUGUAAUUAAAUUCCUUUCUGGUCGUUACUGGGAAGUGAUUAAGAUUAUUUAUCCAAGCCAUUGUUGCUUAUAUUUGCUCUAAGCUUUUUUUUCUACCUUAUUAUGAUGACCUUAAAUUUUAUACGCUCCAUUGUUGCAGCCGUCUGCAUGAAAAAAAAGCACUUUUGUGACAUGUUAAAAAAAUGUUCCUAGAUACUUCAGUGAGAUAAUUGUUUAAAAAAGAAUAUUUGUUUAAAAAGUUAGUUCAAUUCUACGUUCUCUGAGUUACAACAAAACACAUGAAAUAAUGCAAAUACAAAUAAGUUAUUAUGAUUCCUAAUAUAUAUUUUAAAUUACUCGUGGAUGAAGUAGCUCGUGAAUUUGUUAUAGAUGCUAAUACAAAUAACUAACCAUGAAUAUAUCCACUUGUAUUAAAAAUGUUUAGUUCCUAUAUCAUUAGAGAAUUUAUGGUUGGUAAUAAGAAUUACAUUUCACAUGUCCUGCAGAAUUUGCUACCAAGGAUCAAUGAAUAAGUAUAAUCCUGACAAACAAACUUCACAGCUACCACAGAUCAAUCAAUAAGAACAGUCACGAGAACCAAACUCCAUAACAAUCAAAGCUCUUAACAAAAUCUUUCCCAAGUAUCAGAAUAAAAUUCCUAAUGCAGAAUCUGAUAACAGUAAUGUAUUAAGAUAGCUCAGAGAAUUACACCAGUCCAACACCACCUACACCUAAUGCUGAUACACAUAAAAUUUCAUAGUUUAGAUUGCAGAUACUCUUGGGACAUCAACCGGAAACUCGUGGAUCUCAUCCAUCCAAGGACUCUUCUCCUUUGCCGGAUUGAUGGUUUUGAGAGCUUUCCACACUGCGCUAUUACACUUGAAUCCAGAACCAAACGCUAUUUGCCAUGUUCUAUCCCCCUUCUUGAUCCUCCCUUUGGCUUCUGUGUAAGCCAAUUCAUACCAAAGUGAACUGCUAGAGGUGUUUCCGAAACGAUAAAGAGUCAUCCUUGAUGGCUCCAUAUGCCAAGAAGAUAGCUGCAAGUUCUUCUCCAGUUCAUCCAAAACAGCUCUGCCUCC